ACUGUCACUCGGUCUGGAGACUGCAGGUGGUGUCAUGACGGUGCUCAUCCCGAGGAACACCACCAUCCCGACCAAGAAGGAGCAGGUCUUCUCCACGUACUCCGACAACCAGCCGGGCGUCCUGAUCCAGGUGUACGAGGGUGAGCGCGCGAGGACCAAGGACAACAACCUCCUCGGCAAGUUCGAGCUCUCGGGCAUCCCUCCUGCUCCCCGCGGCGUGCCUCAGAUCACGGUCACCUUCGACAUCGACGCCAACGGCAUCCUCAACGUCUCUGCCGAGGACAAGACCACCGGCCAGAAGAACAAGAUCACGAUCACCAACGACAAGGGCAGGCUUAGCAAGGAGGAGAUUGAGAAGAUGGUGCAGGAGGCUGAGAAGUACAAGGCUGAGGACGAGGAGGUCAAGAAGAAGGUGGACGCCAAGAACACGCUCGAGAACUACGCCUACAACAUGAGGAACACCAUCAAGGAUGACAAGAUCGCCUCCAAGCUCCCGGCAGAGGACAAGAAGAAGAUUGAGGACGC
RNAcentral lists this long non-coding RNA (525 nucleotides) under Sorghum bicolor (sorghum). RNAcentral describes it as "long non-coding RNA (SBIC_LNC005767)". Lineage: Eukaryota; Viridiplantae; Streptophyta; Magnoliopsida; Poales; Poaceae. The record is from RNAcentral.